RNAcentral lists this transfer RNA (65 nucleotides) under Scolytinae sp. BMNH 1043001. Its description in RNAcentral is "tRNA-Thr". Lineage: Eukaryota; Metazoa; Arthropoda; Insecta; Coleoptera; Curculionidae. The record is from RNAcentral.
GUUUUUAUAAUUUAAAUAAAAUAUUGGUCUUGUAAAUCAAAAAAAAGAAAUUUUCUUUAAAAACA